RNAcentral lists this transfer RNA (75 nucleotides) under Nitrospiraceae bacterium. RNAcentral describes it as "tRNA-Thr". It matches the Rfam family "tRNA". From Rfam's summary of the family: Transfer RNA (tRNA) molecules are approximately 80 nucleotides in length. Their secondary structure includes four short double-helical elements and three loops (D, anti-codon, and T loops). Further hydrogen bonds mediate the characteristic L-shaped molecular structure. tRNAs have two regions of fundamental functional importance: the anti-codon, which is responsible for specific mRNA codon recognition, and the 3' end, to which the tRNAs corresponding amino acid is attached (by aminoacyl-tRNA synthetases). tRNAs cope with the degeneracy of the genetic code in two manners: having more than one tRNA (with a specific anti-codon) for a particular amino acid; and 'wobble' base-pairing, i.e. permitting non-standard base-pairing at the 3rd anti-codon position. The record is from RNAcentral. Lineage: Bacteria; Pseudomonadati; Nitrospirota; Nitrospiria; Nitrospirales; Nitrospiraceae. RNAcentral also lists the same sequence under 2 other names.
GCUGGCGUAGCUCAACGGCAGAGCAGCGGUUUUGUAAACCGCCGGUUGGAGGUUCAAUUCCUCUCGCCAGCUCCA